This is a long non-coding RNA of Piliocolobus tephrosceles (Ugandan red Colobus), 312 nucleotides long. RefSeq lists it as uncharacterized. Lineage: Eukaryota; Metazoa; Chordata; Mammalia; Primates; Cercopithecidae. The transcript has 3 exons. The record is from RefSeq and is a predicted model, not a curated record.
CAGGUUACCCACAGUGUUGACCUACGAGUGUAAGGCAUGUGUAAUGGGAUCAAGGAAGGUUCGGUGAGAUGCUGAAAUGAGAUGCAGAAUACAAUGAUCAUAUUCAGGUUUGGGCAUUUGUGAAUAGCACUACUGUAAACAUUCAUGCACAGGUUUUUAUGUGAACAUAAGUUUUCAUUUCUCUGUGGAAGACAAGUAGGAACAGGAUUCCUAGUUCAUAUGAUGGAAUCUCCCUUUGUUGCCAGUCUCUUGGAGUGUACAGUGGCGGGAUCUCUGCUCACUGCAAUCUCUGCCUCCAGGUUCAAGCAGUUC